Molecule: ribosomal RNA, 460 nt
Filed under: uncultured bacterium
Lineage: Bacteria
Description: partial 16S ribosomal RNA
Rfam family: Bacterial small subunit ribosomal RNA
Source: RNAcentral
CCUACGGGAGGCAGCAGUGAGGAAUAUUGGUCAAUGGGCGCGAGCCUGAACCAGCCAAGUCGCGUGAGGGAGGACGGCCCUACGGGUUGUAAACCUCUUUUGCAGGGGAGCAACGGGCGUUACGUGUGGCGCCACUGAGAGUACCCGGAGAAAACGCAUCGGCUAACUCCGUGCCAGCAGCCGCGGUAAUACGGAGGUUGCGAGCGUUACCCGGAUUUAUUGGGUUUAAGGGGUGCGUAGGCGGAUCGUUAAGUCAGUGGUCAAUGUGCGGGGCUAAACCCCUUCCCGCCACUGAAACUGGCGUGCUUGAGUGGAAGAGAAGUAUGCGGAAUGCGUGGUGUAGCGGUGAAAUGCAUAGAUAUCACGCAGAACCCCGAUUGCGAAGGCAGCAUGCCGGCUUCCGACUGACGCUGAAGCACGAAAGCGUGGGGAUCGAACAGGAUUAGAUACCCCAGUAGUC